GGUUUGAUCCUGGCUCAGGACGAACGCUGGCGGCGUGCCUAACACAUGCAAGUCGAACGAGUCCAGUCUUCGGACUGAGGCGAGUGGCGGACGGGUGAGUAACACGUGAGCAACCUAUCCUUGUGCGGGGGACAACCCGGGGAAACCCGGGCUAAUACCGCAUGGGCAGGCACCUCGAGUGGGGAGCCUGGGAAAGAUGGCCUCUUAGCAAUGCUGUCGUGCAGGGAGGGGCUCGCGGGCUAUCAGCUAGUUGGGGGGUAAGUGGCCCACCAAGGCGGCGACGGCUACGGGGUCGUGAGAGGACGACCCCGCACAUUGGAACUGAGACACGGUCCAGACUCCUACGGGAGGGCAGCAGUGGGGAAGUAUUGGGGCAAUGGGCGGCAAGCCUGACCCAGCGACGCCGCGUGCGGGAUGACGCCUUCUUCGGAGUGUAAACCGCUGUCAGAGGGGACGAACGGCCUCAUGGGGAAUACUCAUGGGGAUUGACGGUACCCUCAAAGGAAGCGCCGGCUAACUCCGUGCCAGCCGCCGCCGUAA
RNAcentral lists this ribosomal RNA (540 nucleotides) under uncultured Synergistia bacterium. RNAcentral describes it as "bacterial SSU rRNA". It matches the Rfam family "Bacterial small subunit ribosomal RNA", at positions 10 to 523 of the family's 1533-position model. The record is from RNAcentral. Lineage: Bacteria; Thermotogati; Synergistota; Synergistia.